GCCUGUACUGCAUGGAGAGGGAUGAGAACCUUCGACCAGCGUUCGCGUCGGGCACCGCGAGACAACGCGCAUUAGCGCGGCCCGUAGGGUGAGGCGCAACGCGCCGAAUCAUCCUUCUCCCACCACCA
Molecule: non-coding RNA, 128 nt
Organism: Pantoea stewartii subsp. stewartii DC283
Lineage: Bacteria; Pseudomonadati; Pseudomonadota; Gammaproteobacteria; Enterobacterales; Erwiniaceae
Source: Rfam